GACGUUCCAAAAUGGUUCAAUACUCAGUCCACCAGCAUUGAGGAUCUGCUCCCCUCCCGGGUGCGAUGGGAGGAACUUAGUGACGUCAUACACGCCCUCUUUAUAUGUCACCCAGAAGUUGUCUCUGUAAUGUUAAUGUACUCCCAUUAUAGUAGUCCUUUUUUUUUGUUUUUUUUUCUAUAUUUUUUUUUAAAGGAAGAAUUGUUAAUGGUUCUGUUUUUAUAAUGAAGUGUCAUCGUCUGAAUCUCUCGAGUUGCUUAUUAUUAGGUAUUUUGUGUGUACUAUUUAUAUAAGUAGGUAUAUAUGCUAGGUUAUGUAUAUAGGUUAGGUAUAUAUUAUAUUUGUAAGUAUGUUAUAUAUUUAUUUGCAUGUAUUUGUUGUUAAGUUGUAUGCAUAGUUUGUACCCGCAAUCUUUCAAAUUUUUUUUACCUUUUCCUCACCUUAUGGUUGUCUGGAAGAAAUCGCUUUAAGCGAUAAGGCCGCCAUUUGCCAUGUACUUAGUUAAGAGACUUUUUGUAAUUAUUUCUUUUUAUUUUGGUGCAAUAAAGUGUAUUUGUAUUGUAUUGUUGUCAAAA
Pectinophora gossypiella (pink bollworm) is the source of this 575-nucleotide long non-coding RNA. RefSeq lists it as uncharacterized. The record is from RefSeq and is a predicted model, not a curated record. Lineage: Eukaryota; Metazoa; Arthropoda; Insecta; Lepidoptera; Gelechiidae. The transcript has 2 exons.